RNA transcript from Daucus carota subsp. sativus, 3079 nucleotides. It is a transcript of the gene named pentatricopeptide repeat-containing protein At3g24000, mitochondrial, with no coding region annotated. The record is from RefSeq and is a predicted model, not a curated record. The transcript has 3 exons. Lineage: Eukaryota; Viridiplantae; Streptophyta; Magnoliopsida; Apiales; Apiaceae.
CUGUUAUAUAAACCACCUGACCGAAAUAUAAAUACUCGUGGAUUUGAGGUGGUGCUAACUGCUAACAGUGUCACCUCGGCUGAGUCUCUUCUUGCCCGCAUGAAUAUAUACAAACAAGGACAAACACAUAUCAAUCCCAUAUUACACAAUGCUCAGUCACUUUUUCCAUUGGCUUCAAGAUUUUUCACAGCUUCAGCUGCUCAUUUAGCCAAUGCAUAUUCAUCAGAAAAUGAAGAACAAGAAUCAAAUCUUGAUUCUUCAUGUGUAAUUCGAGAUAAAGAUCUUUUACACAAGACCCAGAAUGGUGGGCUUAGGAUUCUUGAGCUAAUUGAUUCUGGGUCGAUUCAGUUAGAGGCGAGUCUUUAUAAUAAGUUAUUGAAUGAGAGUGCUAAAUUGGGGAGGAUUAGAGAGGGGAAAGACGUGCAUCAGCAUUUGUUGAGGUCGAGGUUUAGGGAUUAUCAGGUGGUGUUGAAUUCUGUGGUGAAUAUGUAUGCGAAAUGUGGGUGUUUGGAGGACGCGCGGAAGGUGUUUGAUGAAAUGCCGGUGAGAGAUGUUGUGUCCUGGACUGCGUUGAUCACGGGGUUUUCGCAGCAUGAGAGGUAUGAGGAGGCGUUGGGAUUGUUUUUGGGGUUGUUGAGAGUGGGGUUGGAGCCGAACCAAUUUACGUUUUCGAGUUUGCUUAAGGCUGCUGGGGGGAUGGGGAGUGGGAAAGAAGGGAGGCAGAUUCAUGGGUUUUGUUUGAAGUAUGGGUGUGAUGGGAAUGUGUAUGUGGGGAGUGCACUUGUUGAUAUGUAUGUGAGGUGUGGGUUGAUGGAAGAGGGGGGAGGGGUGUUUCGUGGGUUGUCGAGUAAGAAUGAUGUUUCGUGGAAUGCUUUGAUUGCGGGGCAUGCGAGGAGAGGAGAGGGGGAGGAUGCACUUCGGGUUUUUAAGCAGAUGCAGAAGGAAGAUUUUAGGGCGACACAUUUUACUUAUUCUAGUGUUUUUAGUGCGUGUGCGAGCAUCGGAGCUUUUGAACAGGGUAAGUGGGUUCAUGGACAUAUGAUAAAGUCGGGGUUAAAGCCUGUUGCUUUUGUUGGCAACACGCUUCUUGAUAUGUAUGCAAAAUCGGGUAGUAUUAUGGAUGCUAUAAAAGUUUUUGAUAGACUAGUGAAACGGGACGUUGUUUCUUGGAAUUCUCUGCUAACUGCAUGUGCACAGCAUGGGCGCGGAAGUGACACUAUUAGAUACUUCGAGAAAAUGCUUAAAAUUGGAAUCAAACCUAAUGCUAUUACUUUCCUUUGUCUUCUCACUGCUUGCAGCCAUGCUGGUCUUCUGGAGCAGGGGGAGCAUUACUUUAAUUUGAUGAAGAAGUACGACAUUGAACCAGACACCUCUCACUAUGUGACUGUUGUUGAUCUAAUUGGCCGCGCAGGUGACUUUGAUCGUGCUGUAAUGGUUAUAGAACAUAUGCCAAUCAAACCAGAGGCAGCAGUCUGGAAAGCACUACUUGGGGCCUGUAGGAUGCAUAAGAAUGCUGAGUUGGGUGCUUAUGCUGCUGAACAAGUUUUUAAGCUUGAUCCCAACGAUUCAGGACCUCAUAUAAUCCUGUACAAUAUCUACGCCUCUGCUGGCAGAUGGAAAGAAGCUGCUAAAGCAAGAAAAGCAAUGAGAGAGAGGGGGGUUAAGAAAGAACCUGCCUGUAGUUGGGUAGAGAUUGAGAAUGCUGUCCAUAUGUUCGUGGCAAAUGAUGAUACCCACCCACAAAGAGAAGAAGUCUUCAAGAUGUGGGAAAAGAUUACUUUUGAAAUUAAGAAAAUUGGGUAUGUACCAGACCCGAGUCAUGUCCUUUUGUUCGUGGACCAGCAAGAGCGUGAGGCCAAAUUGCAAUACCAUAGCGAGAAGUUGGCGCUAGCAUUUGCACUACUUAACACUCCUGAUGGAUCUGCCAUUCGGAUUAAAAAGAACAUUAGAGUGUGCGGUGAUUGCCAUUCAGCAUUCAAAUUUGUAUCGAAGUUGGUGGAUAGAGAAAUCAUACUGAGAGACACUAAUCGUUUCCACCAUUUCCGUGAUGGUUCGUGUUCCUGUGGUGACUAUUGGUAGCUAUUGGCACCUGAUAUCCAGUUGUCAGAGAAACAGAAUGACAGCUUGCCAACAGUUAUUUUCUUUCAGUUUAUAGGUGAAUCGCUACUGUAGUGAGAGCAGCUUUCCAGCGAUCUACGACUACCCUAUCAGAAUAAUUUGGAUCCUCAAUGUAUAUGUGGAUAUACAAUAUAUGUUAACCAAUGUUUUGGUGAGUAUUUGCAUAUAAGAUUCUUUAUCUUCCUUCUGUCCGUUACAAAAUAUUUAUGUUUCUAUUUAGCCUGACCGAUUUUAGCUGUAAUCAACUGAUCGCAAGAUUUAUUCUACGCUGAUAGCUGUCACGGUGGAAUGUUGUCUUAUUCUUUUGAAUUUGCUAUUCAAACUUUGGAGCUUGAAUUGGGACUGGAAGAAUUUAUUCAUGGGAGAGACUGAAGAAAGAUAUUGUACAUUGGCUGAAGUCAAUGAUCCUUCACUGUCUUUGAAUGUAGCUUGUUGACAAGUUUGGGAAGAACAACGGUAGAAGUCUGUUUUUCCUAUCUAAAAGUCACUCUCUGUGUUAAGUAGUUGUAGUCCACUUAUGAAAUGCUCGACACUGGUGGUAUCAGCGGCGGGGUGCUCCAGCCUCGACUGACCUUCGAACAACAAUUGAAACUUGGUUCUGCCACUGCUGAGCCAGGCGUCCUUCCUAGAGGCCACUGGCAACCAAAUAUGUCCCUUUUGAAGCAGUUGGAUCUCCUCAACCACCUCUGGGAAAAAGGAAAGAAUAGGAUGAAACCACGUCUCCCAGCACAAGACAAAGCUCAUUCCCGGCUAGGUGUCUUGGCAACUACUACCAUUCAUUCAUCAUCCAACUAAUCAUUAAUUCAUUAUUAUACAUACUUUAUCACUUAUGAUUAUAAUAUUAAUAUAUUCCAUGACUAUGUUUCCCACUAUUGUUAUUAUUAUUGGCCCCAAAAAUAGGUAAAUAUCUCACUCACGUGUGAUGUUUUCUCAUCAUUAUAUUUCUGUAAAGACAAUUUGU